This 92-nucleotide non-coding RNA is filed under the name uncultured Mitsuokella sp. Its description in RNAcentral is "TPP riboswitch (THI element)". The stretch from base 3 to 82 matches the Rfam family "TPP riboswitch aptamer (THI element)", at positions 11 to 88 of the family's 105-position model. From Rfam's summary of the family: Vitamin B(1) in its active form thiamin pyrophosphate (TPP) is an essential coenzyme that is synthesised by coupling of pyrimidine and thiazole moieties in bacteria. The previously detected thiamin-regulatory element, thi box was extended, resulting in a new, highly conserved RNA secondary structure, the THI element, which is widely distributed in eubacteria and also occurs in some archaea. The record is from RNAcentral. Lineage: Bacteria; Bacillati; Bacillota; Negativicutes; Selenomonadales; Selenomonadaceae.
ACAGGGGAGCUCGUGGAGCGGGCUGAGAGGAAGUUGUGGACUUCGACCCUUUGACCUGAUGUGGGUAAUGCCACCGUAGGAAAAAGCGUUUU